This 68-nucleotide transfer RNA is filed under the name Trachymyrmex aff. cornetzi 2 HHDFL-2014. RNAcentral describes it as "tRNA-Leu". Lineage: Eukaryota; Metazoa; Arthropoda; Insecta; Hymenoptera; Formicidae. The record is from RNAcentral.
UUUAAUAUGGCAGACUUAGUGCCUUGAAUUUAAACUUCAAUUAUAAAGACUCAGAUCUUUUAUUAAAA